CUCUCAGACUUUAAGAAUACUCUAACAAAAGCUGGAAUACAAGCUGAGUUUUGUGGUGGUGCUCUUAUAUGCAAUGGAGUUGUGGCUAUCAAAAGAACUGAAGGUGGAAAGAUCAGUAUUGAAGGCUCAGUCUCUGAUGAUUACUACCUCAUAAGAAAGCUUUUAUAUGAACAAUUUGCAAUUGUGUAAUGCAUUUUUUGUCAAGCUCAAGCACUUUCCUAUUCUCACUAAUCCACCCCAUCUAAAAUAGACAUGGAAGGAUCUCAACCAUAGUAACAUAAAGCUGACUGUUCUUGUUCUAUAGCUCAGUCUUCAGUAGCUAUAAUAUACAUGCACACACACUGGUAAUAAUGCUAAUGCCAUGCAUUGGAGCUCAAUAAUAGAGGUUUUCAUUGUCUUCCAUAUAAGGGCAAGAAUCAUCAUAAUGGUAAAUGAUUCCUGUGUCACUGGGUAAACUCUUUAAUUGGUAGUCAUGGUUUUAUGUCCUUCUCUACAUACAUUAUAGUAAUCUCAUUACCUUAUGGCGGCGACAUAAUAACGUAACACCUGUUAUUUAAUAUGUUGUCGCGUGAUUUCGUUAUCGGAUUACAGGAAUUUAACUUGUAAAAUGAGCAAAAACAAGGCAAGCAUUAGAGUAAGCUGUACUGUAAUUUGAGAAUUAAACGGGAUAGAUCUAUCAUAAUUAAUAACAAAAAAAUGUGGACAUGUUCAUUUGUUUGAUGAUUCAGUGAUAUAAGUGAUUGUAGAAAUCAAAAAGAGCGAGAAAAAGGCACAUGCAUGUACAAAUUUGCAAGAGAGGGAGAGGAGAUGGAGAAAGAGAACCAUUUAACUGGACGAUGAAUCUCCACUUUCAUUCUCAUCAAUCGGCUGAAGAAGUUCAGGAAUGUAGCAAUUAAUUUUUCCAACUGCAGUCAUUGCCUUAGGAUCAUGAAGUGCCUAUAUAAAAAUGACAGUUGCAUUGAUUAACAUUGAGAACUGCUAGAAAAGAUACAAAAAU
RNAcentral lists this long non-coding RNA (997 nucleotides) under Amphimedon queenslandica. RNAcentral describes it as "uncharacterized LOC109593137, transcript variant X2". Lineage: Eukaryota; Metazoa; Porifera; Demospongiae; Haplosclerida; Niphatidae. The record is from RNAcentral.